This 690-nucleotide ribosomal RNA is filed under the name uncultured Bacteroides sp. RNAcentral describes it as "bacterial SSU rRNA". It matches the Rfam family "Bacterial small subunit ribosomal RNA", at positions 32 to 715 of the family's 1533-position model. The record is from RNAcentral. Lineage: Bacteria; Pseudomonadati; Bacteroidota; Bacteroidia; Bacteroidales; Bacteroidaceae.
AACGCUAGCUACAGGCUUAACACAUGCAAGUCGAGGGGCAGCAUUAGGUAGCAAUACUGAGAUGGCGACCGGCGCACGGGUGCGUAACGCGUAUCCAACUUUCCCGUUACUCUGGGAUAGCCUUCCGAAAGGGAGAUUAAUACCGGAUGGUGUUUGAAUUCCGCAUGUUAUUCAAACUAAAGAUUUAUCGGUAACGGAUAGGGAUGCGUGACAUUAGGUAGAUGGCGGGGUAACGGCCCACCAUGCCUACGAUGUCUAGGGGUUCUGAGAGGAAGGUCCCCCACACUGGAACUGAGACACGGUCCAGACUCCUACGGGAGGCAGCAGUGAGGAAUAUUGGUCAAUGGUCGGAAGACUGAACCAGCCAAGUAGCGUGAAGGAUGUAGGUUCUAUGGAUUGUAAACUUCUUUUAUACGGGAAUAAAGCCCGCUACGUGUAGCGGUUUGUAUGUACCGUAUGAAUAAGCAUCGGCUAACUCCGUGCCAGCAGCCGCGGUAAUACGGAGGAUGCGAGCGUUAUCCGGAUUUAUUGGGUUUAAAGGGAGCGUAGACGGGAUGUUAAGUCAGUUGUGAAAGGCUGCGGCUCAACCGCAGCACUGCAGUUGAUACUGGCGUCCUUGAGUGCGGUUGAGGUGUGUGGAAUUCGUGGUGUAGCGGUGAAAUGCUUAGAUAUCACGAAGAACUCCGAUUG